AUUCCAUGGUGUGGACACUUCCUUAACAACUCCUUAAAGCGCUCCCAAGAAUCAUACAGUGACUCUCCAUCCAACCGAUAAAAAUUAUUAAUCUCACCCCUUAACUU
This is a small nucleolar RNA of Humulus lupulus (European hop), 107 nucleotides long. The record is from RefSeq and is a predicted model, not a curated record. Lineage: Eukaryota; Viridiplantae; Streptophyta; Magnoliopsida; Rosales; Cannabaceae.